Molecule: long non-coding RNA, 435 nt
Organism: Capra hircus (goat)
Lineage: Eukaryota; Metazoa; Chordata; Mammalia; Artiodactyla; Bovidae
Exons: 4
Source: RefSeq, a predicted model, not a curated record
CAAAUUUGGAAAACUCAGCAGUGGCCACAGGACUGGAAAAGAUAAUGGCCUGCCUCAGAGGACCCUGACCCUCUAUCUGACUGUUAAACUGAAGUACCUUUCUUCAGAACCUUGUCUACCUGUGGAUGGCAAGAAGGAAGAAAUUAACACAUUCCCUGCCUGAGGCCUGUCAUUCUAGGAGGUCUUUGUUGUCCAACGUGGUAGCCCUAGCCAUAAGCAUCCAUUUCGAGAAAUCAGAAAAAGAGAACAAAUUAAACUCAAAGAAAGCAGAGGAAAGUAAAUAAUAAAGAGCUCCAACUGAGGACCUGAGAAGGGUAGAAGUAAAGUUCUGCCUGCCCUGCAAUGGAAACAACCCAAAUGUCUAUAAACAGAAAAUGGAGAAACCAAAUGUGGUGUAUACACACAACUGAAUAUUAUUUGUCAAUAAAAAGGAUG